ACGAAGCAUUUGGGUGUGCGGGGGAUUACCGAAUGGCUGCUCUCUUCUCCCUGACCUGCGUCGUCUCCCCCAAACCCUCGCUUCCGGUCCCCGUUCGGAGCUCGAACGCCCGAUGGCGGUGGGAGUCGGUUGCUUCGAGAGUUGUGUUGCAGCCUGAGACGCGGAGAUCGAGAGUUGUCGCUCUGGUUUCCCAGGCUUCCCGGGUCGUCUUCCGUGACCUCGACGCCGAUGAUUUCAGGCACCCCCUCGAUAAGCAGAAUACUCUGCUGCUGAGGACAAUUCCUGGGUUGAAUGAACUUGGCAAGGCGUUGUUAGGACCAAUGACAGAGCAAGUAAUGCUUCUUGAGAACAUAGGAACAUCAGUACUUGUUUCUGAAAACCAGCUCCCCGGUCUUCAUAAAUUGAUGAUUGAGGCGGCAAAAGUACUAGACACUGAAGCUCCUGAUCUUUAUGUCCGCCAGAAUCCUGUUCCAAAUGCAUACACCUUGGCAAUUAGUGGUAGGAAACCAUUUAUAGUUGUUCACACUAGCCUUGUGGAGCUUCUUACUAGAAGAGAACUACAGGCCGUUUUGGCUCAUGAGUUGGGCCACUUAAAAUGUGACCAUGGGGUGUGGCUUACAUUUGCAAACAUAAUUACACUUGGAGCUUACUCUGUACCUGGCCUUGGUGGGUUGAUUGCCCAGAGUUUGGAAGAACAGCUUUGUAGGUGGCUUCGAGCUGCUGAGCUAACUUGCGAUAGGGCGGCUCUCCUUGUUGCACAAGAUCCAAAGGUGGUCAUCUCUGUUUUGAUGAAACUGGCUGGAGGGUGUCCAUCUCUUUCUGACCAGCUAAAUGUAGAUGCAUUCUUGGAGCAAGCUCGCUCAUAUGACAAGGCUUCUUCCAAUCCCAUUGGUUGGUACAUCAGGAAUGCUCAAACGAGGCAGUUAUCCCACCCCUUGCCUGUUCUACGUGCCCGUGAAAUUGACGAGUGGUCAAGGGGUCAGGAAUACAAAUAUCUACUGAAGCAUGCUAUCCAACUGGAAGAUUCUCUAAAGCCUAGAAAUACCUUUGUGCGGUGAAGAUUGCGAUGAUGUUUUAAAUGCUUAAUGUUGAAAUUAAACCAGAAGGAUAGACCUAUCAAAAUGGGCAAGGACUGUAGGUGAAGGGAUUGUGGCAGAUAUUGCACACCGGGAUUCCUCGGGAGAAUCUGGAGGCAGAUAUCUCAUAUGUCUCAAUGAAGGAAUUGAUUGGAAGGCAGAAGCUAGCAAGCCUUACUCAAGAUGAUAAGGAUAACAGAUAAAACCAGGGGAAGAAAUUUAGAGAGUUGAAAGAAGCUAAGCCUCUGAAAGUGACCAGUGCCUGCUUGUUCACCUCACAAGACAACAACAGUAAUAAUCUCUUUGCAUUUGAUCUUUCUAUUUCAAUCAAUUUCUAUUGAUAUGAAUCCAAUUGAAAAGGAUAGGACCCUCACCCC
Musa acuminata subsp. malaccensis (wild Malaysian banana) is the source of this 1453-nucleotide RNA transcript. It is a transcript of the gene named plastoglobule-localized metallopeptidase 48, chloroplastic, with no coding region annotated. NCBI's taxonomy places the organism in Eukaryota, Viridiplantae, Streptophyta, Magnoliopsida, Zingiberales, Musaceae. The record is from RefSeq and is a predicted model, not a curated record.